AGGGUGUAAACGCUGCAGACUUGGUGUUGGAAAUCCUUCGAGGGUAUUCAGUGCCGGAGAGAAGUUGUUAAGUCUGCUACUUGGGGAGUACGUCCGCAAGGAUGAAACUUAAGGAUUGGCGGGGAGCACCGCAACGGGAGGAGCGUGCGGUUUAAUUGGAUUCAACACCGGAAAACUUCACCAGGGAAGACUGUUACAUGAAGGCCGAGAUGAAGACUCUGCUAGAUUUUCAGAGAGGAGGUGCAUGGCGUCAGUGACU
This 259-nucleotide ribosomal RNA is filed under the name uncultured archaeon. Its description in RNAcentral is "partial 16S ribosomal RNA". It matches the Rfam family "Archaeal small subunit ribosomal RNA", at positions 748 to 1008 of the family's 1478-position model. The record is from RNAcentral.